GGAGGAAUAUUGGGUCAAUGGGCGAGAGCCUGAACCAGCCAAGUAGCGUGCAGGAAGACGGCCCUAUGGGUUGUAAACUGCUUUUAUAGGGGAAUAAAGUGAGCCACGUGUGGUUUUUUGCAUGUACCCUAUGAAUAAGGACCGGCUAAUUCCGUGCCAGCAGCCGCGGUAAUACGGAAGGUCCGGGCGUUAUCCGGAUUUAUUGGGUUUAAAGGGAGCGUAGGCCGGAGAUUAAGCGUGUUGUGAAAUGUAGACGCUCAACGUCUGCACUGCAGCGCGAACUGGUUUCCUUGAGUACGCAUAAAGUGGGCGGAAUUCGUGGUGUAGCGGUGA
RNAcentral lists this ribosomal RNA (333 nucleotides) under uncultured Prevotella sp. RNAcentral describes it as "bacterial SSU rRNA". It matches the Rfam family "Bacterial small subunit ribosomal RNA", at positions 355 to 684 of the family's 1533-position model. The record is from RNAcentral. Lineage: Bacteria; Pseudomonadati; Bacteroidota; Bacteroidia; Bacteroidales; Prevotellaceae.